RNAcentral lists this microRNA precursor (62 nucleotides) under Eisenia fetida (common brandling worm). Its description in RNAcentral is "Efe-Mir-124-P18_pre stem-loop". Lineage: Eukaryota; Metazoa; Annelida; Clitellata; Crassiclitellata; Lumbricidae. The record is from RNAcentral.
AGUGUUCACUGCGGAUGCUUUAGUGUUUCUUUUGACGAAUUAAGGCACGCGGUGAAUGCUAC